GGCAAAGCAAGAGAGUCCUUUGUUUCCAGAGGAAGUUGCAGACAGGGAUCAAUUGAAACAAGUUGAAUUUGUUGUUGAAAGGGAUUGGAGUAAAUUGAAAGAUGCCUCCUUGAUUGAAGUUGAGUACAAUAUUGGACUUGAAUUGAUAGUAGAUCAACUAUUGCGUUUGUUGAAUUUGAAUCCUGUA
Telopea speciosissima is the source of this 187-nucleotide long non-coding RNA. RefSeq lists it as uncharacterized. The record is from RefSeq and is a predicted model, not a curated record. NCBI's taxonomy places the organism in Eukaryota, Viridiplantae, Streptophyta, Magnoliopsida, Proteales, Proteaceae. The transcript has 2 exons.